This is a long non-coding RNA of Tetranychus urticae (two-spotted spider mite), 3036 nucleotides long. RefSeq lists it as uncharacterized. NCBI's taxonomy places the organism in Eukaryota, Metazoa, Arthropoda, Arachnida, Trombidiformes, Tetranychidae. The record is from RefSeq and is a predicted model, not a curated record.
AUCCUUUGUGUAAUCAAUUUAAAUGUUACAAUUACAUGUAAUUACAAUCUGAUUUAAAAAUUGCGGUUAAAUCUAAAUGAAAGGGCACAAUGGCUUGUUAAGCCGGGAAACAAAGCCGUUAAUUUUUGUUCAGUUGUUAUCCUUUUGUUUGGUUAAAAAGCUGACUUAAUUAUUGAUAAUUACAUAUUAAAUACAUUUGAUUUUUUUUCUAAUUCUGCCUCUAUUUUAUUAACAGGAGUUCAAUCGACUAAUGACAAUCUAAAUAAUAGAUAUAAUUGCAACAAUCGCGGACCUCGGAUACCAUUUACAUCUCAUCAAGUACAAAUAUUGGAGAAGAAAUUUGCCUCAACAAGUUACCUCAGCAGCUAUGAGGUUUGGAGUUUAUCGGAACAGUUAAACAUCUCAGAGAAUCGGGUUAAAAUUUGGUUUCAAAAUCGACGAGCCCGAAGGAAACGAGAAGAAAGAUUACCCGAUGAAGUCGAUAAACAGAUAUCCAAUGAUUUAAUUGCCACUGAUUGUGAACAGUAUCUUCCAAGGAGUCCGAAAUGAAAUUACAAUCAAGAAUCUCAGAGAACUGAUGGGACCAAAUUAGCCACCAACUGAAUGUACAAAACAGCCGAAACCAAAAAGCCUAAAUGAAGCAAAACUGCCAAAUUAAAGACCUAUUUAUUCAACUAAUUUGUUGAUUUUCAAUUGUCCAUCUGAUUACAAUGACAAACUUGCGAGGAUAUAGCUAUUUAACAAGACUCAGCGCUAUCAAAGCUGAUGAAAUGUUACCAUUUUGUUCGUGAUCUUAUAAUGAGAAAUUAGUUAGUUUGAUUAAUUAAACAGAUCGAUAAUUUUUUACAAUUUUUUCCAAUAAAACGGAAAAAAUAAAAAAAUGAAAUCAUUUCAAGCUGGCAAGGUAAAAAUACUGCAAGCUAAGGUUAAUCAUUAUUAUUGGAGAAAUGUUUUGAUUCUUUGAUUAUUAACAAAUCAUUAACUGUUUUAUUUAUUCAACUCUACUCUCUACUUAAUCAUGCUGAGAAAGUUGUCAACAGGUCAGACAAUUAUUGUUGAUUAGAUUAUUUAACCUGUUGGAAUGAGGAUUGAUGCAGCAAAAUAAAAGUGGCAACAAGCGUAAUCCGUGAUGAAACAAAAAUGUAUCCUUGAAGCAAUGGACAAUUAGUCUCAUUUAGACUAGACAAUUAACAUUCCAAUCACAGUGAAUUAUUGAUUUUAAUGUAUUUUCAAUCAUUUUGAUGACUAUAAUUUGUUGAAUUGAUUAAAAUUGAAAGCAAAAAUAACAAGGCAAUGAGCAAAACAAAAACAAAACCUACGCUUUGUGAACCAAUAAACUGGUUAACUUUUGGGUUUUCAUUGAAGGUGAAGUAAAUUAAAGAUUAUCAGUUGUCAUUCUAUUUACAUUUACAAUUAAUUGAUUUACUCAUAAAGUGGCUCCAAUAAUCAAUUACAAACGUGGUUAGAAUCAAAUUAUUUGCGAAUCGCAAUCAACUGAUCUAACUAGACGAAGUAGAAAAGUGUAGUUUGCUUUUAUGUAAAUCUGAUCAACUUUUAUAACAACCUUAAUCAAUUAUACCUUUAAGCUGCUGCCGAUCAGUACAAAUCUGACCGAACGAAUUAAAUAAUUAAUAAUCAAUCAAGGGUUAAAUCAAUUUAAUUUCUCAUUCUAAUAGCUGUUGGAUGAAUGGAAACAAAUCUAAUGUUAAUAAACAAUAAUUAAGUUCACAUUGGUUGGCAAUAAAAUAUUUUUUAAUUUCCCUCCAAAAACCUAAAGAAGAGGCAAAAUUUGUAAACUCAUGUGUUAUUUUAAUGCGUCUCAAUUUUUUCUUGUGUUACUUGCAACUUUAUAUUUUAAUCAUUGCUUUAAUUGUCAUUACUAUCAAAGUUUACAAUAUUUAUUAAUAUUAUUUUGUUUGCUUGGAGCGAUUAACAUUUAUUAAAAAUUUCAACUGUGACCUUUAGGCUUAUUUUGUGCUAUAAAUUAAAGUAUCGAUUUCAUCAAAAAAAAUUUUUGUUUUUUCCUUCGCCUUUCUUUUAGGUCGCCAUGUUUACUCUCUCUAUUUCUCUUUCUUCUCUUUCUCAAGCCAAUUAAUUCAACUGAAAAUGACCUGACUCUGGACAUACUUAAUUGUAUUAUGUUAACAUCGAUCAUCUCAUUAAUACCUGUUGGCCUCCUCAUAAUCAACAGUAACAUCAACAUCAUCAUUAUUGUGAAUAAAUCAUAAAAUCUUUUCCCGCUCUUCAUCAUAUGUUCAACUGAAUCUUGGGUGUUGUUACAAGCUCAACAUGAUUGCAAAAUUGUUUCAGCCUGGAUCAAUCAAUUUGAUACCAUCUUGAUAAUCACUGAUAUCAGCCUGUCCAAGUAUGCAGAUGUGAAUGUUAACUGUUCAUGACCACCAACCAGCAAGCUAAUUGUGUAAACUUGUACAGAUAUGUAGAUUGGUACCUGAUUGAUCAAUUUCGAUACAGAUUUCGAUUAUUAUCGUUGACAACACAAUAAGCACAAAUUUGAUUUUGAUCAUCGCAAUUUGGCAUCUUCCGCAACUAAACCAUAGAGAGAACAUAAUGGAAAACUUGAAAUUACAUUUACUCCAUUCAUGUGAUCGUUUUGAUGGAAAAACUUUCAGGGAAAUUAAUUGUGAAUGUUAUCAAUAUCAUUGAUACAAUAUGUCAGCAAUCAAUCCUGCACAUGUUACGAAGGAUCAGUCACUUCAACUCUACUGCUGCAAUUACAAUUUGCAAUUGUUGAAUGUUAACUUUUUUCAUCUUAACAUUGUUCUCUUAUAAUCUAUGCUGAUCAUCAGAUUUAAUCAUAAAGUACCUGAAUCUUGUUAAUUUUCAUGGCGAGUACCACCAUUCAAAUGGGUCCCAUUCAAUUAUUUUUGCCAGCAACAAUUAUCUGACCUCAAACAAUGUUUGUCGAGUAAAGCUGUUUAAUUUUGCUAUUUAAAUCAAAUAAUUACUGAUUAAAGGCAGAUUAACUGAACAAAACUGAAAUGAAUUAUACAAACCUUGAUGAUCAAGUGAAAAUUA